RNAcentral lists this unclassified non-coding RNA (386 nucleotides) under uncultured bacterium. RNAcentral describes it as "contains 16S-23S intergenic spacer region". The record is from RNAcentral.
UCCUGGUUUCCCAGGCAGUCCCAUCAGAGUGCGUUACUCACGUAACUAGCAACUGACAGCAGGGGUUGCGCUCGUUAGAGGACUUAACCCAACAUCUCACGACACGAGCUGACGACAGCCAUGCAGCACCUGUGCAAUUGCUUUAACCGAAGCUAAAGAGAUCGUAUUUCUACGACUGUCAAAAGCAUGUCAAGCCUAGGUAAGGUUCCUCGCGUAGUGUCGAAUUAAACCACAUGUUCCACCGCUUGUGCGGGCCCCCGUCAAUUUCUUUGAGUUUUAGUCUUGCGACCGUAAUCCCCAGGCGGAUCACUUAACGCGUUAGCUACGACACUAAUCCUGUUAAACAGAAUUAACGUCCAGUGAUCAUCGUUUACAGCGUGGACUAC